Molecule: ribosomal RNA, 253 nt
Filed under: uncultured soil bacterium
Lineage: Bacteria
Description: partial 16S ribosomal RNA
Rfam family: Bacterial small subunit ribosomal RNA
Source: RNAcentral
AGGACGAACGCUGGCGGCGUGCUUAACACAUGCAAGUCGAGCGGAAAGGCCCUUCGGGGUACUCGAGCGGCGAACGGGUGAGUAACACGUGAGUAGCCUGCCCUGGACUUUGGGAUAACCCUCGGAAACGGGGGCUAAUACCGGAUAUGACUUCUGCCGGCAUCGGUGGUUGUGGAAAGUUUUUCGGUCUGGGAUGGGCUCGCGGCCUAUCAGCUUGUUGGUGGGUGAUGGCCUACCAAGGCGACGACGGGUA